RNAcentral lists this ribosomal RNA (301 nucleotides) under uncultured bacterium. Its description in RNAcentral is "partial 16S ribosomal RNA". It matches the Rfam family "Bacterial small subunit ribosomal RNA", at positions 509 to 808 of the family's 1533-position model. The record is from RNAcentral.
CAGCCGCCGCGGUAAUACGUAGGUCCCGAGCGUUGUCCGGAUUUAUUGGGCGUAAAGCGAGCGCAGGCGGUUAGAUAAGUCUGAAGUUAAAGGCUGUGGCUUAACCAUAGUACGCUUUGGAAACUGUUUAACUUGAGUGCAAGAGGGGAGAGCGGAAUACCAUGUGUAGCGGUGAAAUGCGUAGAUAUAUGGAGGAACACCGGUGGCGAAAGCGGCUCUCUGGCUUGUAACUGACGCUGAGGCUCGAAAGCGUGGGGAGCAAACAGGAUUAGAUACCCGCGUAGUCCCUGUCUCUUAUACA